GGGUUGUGAGGUUAAGCGACUAAGCGUACACGGUGGAUGCCCUGGCAGUCAGAGGCGAUGAAGGACGUGCUAAUCUGCGAUAAGCGCCGGUAAGGUGAUAUGAACCGUUAUAACCGGCGAUUUCCGAAUGGGGAAACCCAGUGUGACUCGUCACACUAUCAUUAACUGAAUCCAUAGGUUAAUGAGGCGAACCGGGGGAACUGAAACAUCUAAGUACCCCGAGGAAAAGAAAUCAACCGAGAUUCCCCCAGUAGCGGCGAGCGAACGGGGAGGAGCCCAGAGCCUGAAUCAGCAUGUGUGUUAGUGGAAGCGUCUGGAAAGGCGCGCGAUACAGGGUGACAGCCCCGUACACAAAAGCGCAUGUGUUGUGAGCUCGAUGAGUAGGGCGGGACACGUGGUAUCCUGUCUGAAUAUGGGGGGACCAUCCUCCAAGGCUAAAUACUCCUGACUGACCGAUAGUGAACCAGUACCGUGAGGGAAAGGCGAAAAGAACCCCGGCGAGGGGAGUGAAAAAGAACCUGAAACCGUGUACGUACAAGCAGUGGGAGCACCCUUCGGGGUGUGACUGCGUACC
Molecule: ribosomal RNA, 574 nt
Filed under: Salmonella enterica subsp. enterica serovar Newport
Lineage: Bacteria; Pseudomonadati; Pseudomonadota; Gammaproteobacteria; Enterobacterales; Enterobacteriaceae
Description: bacterial LSU rRNA
Rfam family: Bacterial large subunit ribosomal RNA
Source: RNAcentral